This 490-nucleotide ribosomal RNA is filed under the name uncultured bacterium. RNAcentral describes it as "partial 16S ribosomal RNA". It matches the Rfam family "Bacterial small subunit ribosomal RNA", at positions 28 to 507 of the family's 1533-position model. The record is from RNAcentral.
GAUGAACGCUAGCUACAGGCUUAACACAUGCAAGUCGAGGGGCAGCAUGGUCUUAGCUUGCUAAGGCCGAUGGCGACCGGCGCACGGGUGAGUAACACGUAUCCAACCUGCCGUCUACUCUUGGACAGCCUUCUGAAAGGAAGAUUAAUACAAGAUGGCAUCAUGAGUUCACAUGUUCACAUGAUUAAAGGUAUUCCGGUAGACGAUGGGGAUGCGUUCCAUUAGAUAGUAGGCGGGGUAACGGCCCACCUAGUCUUCGAUGGAUAGGGGUUCUGAGAGGAAGGUCCCCCACAUUGGAACUGAGACACGGUCCAAACUCCUACGGGAGGCAGCAGUGAGGAAUAUUGGUCAAUGGGCGAGAGCCUGAACCAGCCAAGUAGCGUGAAGGAUGACUGCCCUAUGGGUUGUAAACUUCUUUUAUAAAGGAAUAAAGUCGGGUAUGGAUACCCGUUUGCAUGUACUUUAUGAAUAAGGAUCGGCUAACUCCGUG